Non-coding RNA from Mycobacterium xenopi 3993, 119 nucleotides. The record is from Rfam. Lineage: Bacteria; Bacillati; Actinomycetota; Actinomycetes; Mycobacteriales; Mycobacteriaceae.
CGAAAGUGCCUUCCCGGACUAUGGACAAAUGCGGCCUCAGCACUCGUAUUGUCCCAGUUCAGAAGGCAUUUUCGCUGUUCACACGCCGAUCAAAUCACCGGAACCAUCCACGGAUUUAG